UCUGGAGCCACUUUAUUGCGUUGUAACGCAUGGCUACAUGCGAAUUGUGAAAAUUCUGUGUGUUCUCUCAUGAAAAUUAGUUAUUUAUUAUUAUUUUGACGUCUCAAAUUUAUACUUAUUAUUCAUCAUUCUCAUAAGAUCCUUUUUGAUUUAUCCUUUGGUAUGUUCCGAAUUACAUACGAAGCGCAUGAGCUGAAGAGAGAGGUAGCUACAGCAUCCAAGAUGACGAGUAUUGUUCCAAUUUGAAAUGUAUAUUCGCAUCAAUUCAUAUCAAUUGCAUACUAAAAUUGGAACGCUGUUAGCAGCAUGUUUUUAUGACGACAUAUCUGCGCUGACAAUCAAUUUUGGAACACAGCCUCUGCAAGCUAAAUCGGAGAUGUAUUAUUCGCAACUUAUGAGAACAGAUUGAUUCGAACUAGAAGGAUCUUCACUAUGACAAAAGAGAUAGAGAUUCUGAUAAAUUUUAACUAAUAACGUGAUAUUUUCGAAUAAAAAUAUACGUGAUAGGGAUAAAAGAAACUGAGAUAUGUAAUUGUCGAUGACUCAAGAAUCCCUUAGGGAUUGAGUCAUAAGAUAUCUAUAAGACUGAAUAUUCGAGACGGGUCUUAAGGAUAGAUAAAAAAAGGACUAAAAACAAUAGAUAAAAGCAAAUAAGAAAAGUAACAGGAAACAAGAUUUAUCAGAAAUGUUUAGGAACAAAAGUAUAGAAAAAUUUUAUGUUAAAAACGUAACGUUAACAAAAGUGACAUGGCACGUAACAUAAGCCAACUCGAUUGCCGACUCUGAUUGCCAAUUCUAAUUGAUCGAUCAUACUUGAUGUUUGUCGAUGAUUGCUAUCCAUUGACUCAAUAUGUUUGUAUAGACUACAGAUUCAUAUAUGUGGAUUGUAUAAAAGAGUAAAAUUUACUAAAACGCGAGCGAAUCUCAGAAUUGUAUCGGACAUAAUACGAUAUUUGAAAAUCGAGAGGAACUGA
This is a long non-coding RNA of Atta colombica, 974 nucleotides long. RefSeq lists it as uncharacterized. NCBI's taxonomy places the organism in Eukaryota, Metazoa, Arthropoda, Insecta, Hymenoptera, Formicidae. The record is from RefSeq and is a predicted model, not a curated record. The transcript has 3 exons.